Molecule: ribosomal RNA, 689 nt
Filed under: Amanita rubescens
Lineage: Eukaryota; Fungi; Basidiomycota; Agaricomycetes; Agaricales; Amanitaceae
Description: LSU rRNA
Rfam family: Eukaryotic large subunit ribosomal RNA
Source: RNAcentral
CCUUAGUAACUGCGAGUGAAGAGGGAAAAGCUCAAAUUUAAAAUCUGGCAGUGUUUCACUGUCCGAGUUGUAACCUAGAGAAGUGUAACCUGCGCUGGACCGUGUAUAAGUCUCCUGGAAUGGAGCAUCACAGAGGGUGAGAAUCCCGUCUUUGACAUGGACCACCAGUGCAUUAUGGUUGUGCUCUCAACGAGUCGAGUUGUUUGGGAAUGCAGCUCUAAAUGGGUGGUAAAUUCCAUCUAAAGCUAAAUAUUGGCGAGAGACCGAUAGCGAACAAGUACCGUGAGGGAAAGAUGAAAAGAACUUUGGAAAGAGAGUUAAACAGUAUGUGAAAUUGUUGAAAGGGAAACGUUUGAAGUCAGUCGCGUUGGUUGGGGAUCAGCCUGACAUUGUUGGGUUUACUUCCUGGUCGACGGGCCAACAUCAGUUUUAACUGCCAGAAAAAGGCCAAAGGAAUGUGGCACCUUUGGGUGUGUUAUAGCCCUUGGUCGUAUAUGGUGGUUGGGACUGAGGAAAGCAGCGUGCCGAAAGGCCGGGUUUCGACCACGUUCACGCUGAGGAUGUUGGCAUAAUGGCUUUAAGCGACCCGUCUUGAAACACGGACCAAGGAGUCUAACAUGCAUGCGAGUGUUUGGGUGGAAAACCCUUACGCGUAAUGAAAGUGAAAGUUGAGAUCCCUGUCGCGGGGA